CAAGGGUGCGGGAUAACCCCGGGAAACUGGGGAUAAUACCGGAUGGAUCACUUAUGCUGGAAUGCUUGGUGGUCGAAAGGUGACGCCCUUGGAUGGGUCUGCGGCGGAUUAGGUUGACGCCGGUGUAACGUACCGGCGUGCCUGUAAUCCGUACGGGUUGUGGGAGCAAGAGCCCGGAGAUGGAUUCUGAGACACGAAUCCAGGCCCUACGGGGCGCAGCAGGCGCGAAAACUCUACAAUGCAAGGCAACUGCGAUAGGGGGACAUCGAGUGGCAUCCACCUUGGGUGCCUGUCCCACCGUCUAAAAAACGGUGGUUAGCAAGGGCCGGGCAAGACCGGUGCCAGCCGCCGCGGUAAUACCGGCGGCUCGAGUGGUGGCCGAUAUUAUUGAUUCUAAAGGGUCCGUAGCCGGCUUUGCAAGUCCCCUGGGAAAUCCAGCGGCUUAACCGUUGGGCUUUCAUGGGAUACUACAUUGCUUGGGACUGGGAGAGGUAGGAGGUACUCGGGGGGUAGGGGUGAAAUCCUGUAAUCCCCCGGGGACCACCGGUGGCGAAGGCGUCCUACCAGAACAGGUCCGACGGUGAGGGACGAAAGCUAGGGGCACGAACCGGAUUAGAUACCCGGGUAGUCCUAGCCGUAAACGAUGCCCGCUAGGUGUCACGGCGGUCGUGAAUCGCCGUGGUGUCGUAGGGAAGCCGCGAAGCGGGCCACUUGGGAAGU
Molecule: ribosomal RNA, 720 nt
Filed under: uncultured euryarchaeote
Lineage: Archaea; Methanobacteriati; Methanobacteriota
Description: SSU rRNA
Rfam family: Archaeal small subunit ribosomal RNA
Source: RNAcentral